GGCUCAGGAUGAACGCUAGCUACAGGCUUAACACAUGCAAGUCGAGGGGCAGCAUUGGGAUAGCUUGCUAUUUCAGAUGGCGACCGGCGCACGGGUGAGUAACGCGUAUCCAACCUUCCUGCCAGUAGGGAACAGCCCGGCGAAAGUCGGAUUAAUGCCCUAUGUUCUUCAAUGCGGACAUCUAAGUUGAAGGAAAGAUUCAUCGCUGGCAGAUGGGGAUGCGUCCGAUUAGCUUGCCGGCGGGGUAACGGCCCACCGGGGCGACGAUCGGUAGGGGUUCUGAGAGGAAGGUCCCCCACACUGGUACUGAGACACGGACCAGACUCCUACGGGAGGCAGCAGUGAGGAAUAUUGGUCAAUGGGCGCGAGCCUGAACCAGCCAAGUAGCGUGCAGGACGACGGCCCUAUGGGUUGUAAACUGCUUUUAUGCGGGGAUAAAGUGAGGGACGUGUCCCUUAUUGUAGGUACCGCAUGAAUAAGGACCGGCUAAUUCCGUGCCAGCAGCAGC
RNAcentral lists this ribosomal RNA (508 nucleotides) under uncultured bacterium. Its description in RNAcentral is "bacterial SSU rRNA". It matches the Rfam family "Bacterial small subunit ribosomal RNA", at positions 21 to 518 of the family's 1533-position model. The record is from RNAcentral.